CCUACGGGUGGCUGCAGUGGGGAAUAUUGGACAAUGGGCGAAAGCCUGAUCCAGCCAUGCCGCGUGUGUGAAGAAGGCCUUCGGGUUGUAAAGCACGUUCAGUGGGGAAGAAAGCCUUGGGGCUAAUACCCUCGAGGAAGGACAUCACCCACAGAAGAAGCACCGGCUAACUCCGUGCCAGCAGCCGCGGUAAUACGGAGGGUGCGAGCGUUAAUCGGAAUUACUGGGCGUAAAGCGCGCGUAGGCGGUCUGAUAAGCCGGUUGUGAAAGCCCCGGGCUCAACCUGGGAACGGCAUCCGGAACUGUCAGGCUAGAGUGCAGGAGAGGAAGGUAGAAUUCCCGGUGUAGCGGUGAAAUGCGUAGAGAUCGGGAGGAAUACCAGUGGCGAAGGCGGCCUUCUGGACUGACACUGACGCUGAGGUGCGAAAGCGUGGGUAGCAAACAGGAUUAGAUACCCUGGUAGUC
Molecule: ribosomal RNA, 465 nt
Filed under: Vreelandella stevensii
Lineage: Bacteria; Pseudomonadati; Pseudomonadota; Gammaproteobacteria; Oceanospirillales; Halomonadaceae
Description: partial 16S ribosomal RNA
Rfam family: Bacterial small subunit ribosomal RNA
Source: RNAcentral